CAGGGAGACAACAAAAUGUUUAAUAUUAUUAUUUUGUCACCUUAGGUCGAUCGGUAUCUCACGUUCUUAAUUUAUUAAGAAUUUCAUUUCCUGAGUUUUUCUAGGUCACACCCAUUAUUUUUCCUGGGCCAUUAGCUCAGGUGGUUAGAGCGCACCCCUGAUAAGGGUGAGGUCCCUGGUUCAAGUCCAGGAUGGCCCAUAUCUCUAUGUUGGGGGUAUAGCUCAGUUGGUAGAGCGCCUGCUUUGCAAGCAGGAUGUCAGCGGUUCGAGUCCGCUUACCUCCACUGAUUACCACCUCUUCCAUAUCUAUAGAAAGGAAUUUUUUUGGGUUGUGAUCAAAUUCUGAACGAAUCUAGCUUCCUAAUGAAAUCAUUAAGAUGCUGGACUCAUUGAAUUAAUUUCAUUGUUUUCAGAGAACCUUGACAACUGCAUAGAUUAUUUUUAAAGACAAUGAGCAUCUUUAAUGAUGCAGAUUUAUUAUUUGUGCGAACGCACUAAUAACAAUUCUAUUAAGCUGAUGCUUCAAUUUUGAAGUUAUU
RNAcentral lists this transfer RNA (539 nucleotides) under uncultured Prochlorococcus sp. Its description in RNAcentral is "partial 16S-23S ribosomal RNA intergenic spacer". The stretch from base 212 to 284 matches the Rfam family "tRNA". The record is from RNAcentral. Lineage: Bacteria; Bacillati; Cyanobacteriota; Cyanophyceae; Synechococcales; Prochlorococcaceae.